GGAGCAUCUCUCAAAUCAGCUGCCUGGUGAAGUUUUACUGAACACACUGGUAGAUUUUUUUGCACAACUAGUUGGAUGUAGUGGGAAAUGUAAUCCUCCCAAUGCCUCUGUCUAAGAGGAUGCAAAUGAGCUUGCCAGCACAAUGCCUUGGGAACGUUUCUUUCAUGCAAAACCCAGGUAGAUAAACAAGGAGGGGAGGAGGGAGAGGGGAAAGGGAUUGUUUGCUUCUAUAAACAACAAGAAUUAACUGUGUUCAGUAAAUGACAGAUGGGCUAAGAUCAAAAUCUGAAUCUUUCUCAAUGUGGAUGAAAUCUUCACCCCUAUCUCUGCGUUGCAUCAAACCCCAUUGCACAGCCUGUCCGGUGCCAUGGGGCAAUGACAGGGCAGGGUGACAGGAGCUGGGAUGUGUGGCUGUGCUCAGGCCAGCAUGCCAGGAGGGACACGAAAUACCUCUGCUGUGAAUCUGAAGUGUCUCUGAACCACAGCUGCUCCCUGGGAAACACCAGCAGACCCUGUGGCAGGACACAGGGAAGGUUGUUGCCUCCUGGUGCUUUCACCAGCCUGAGCUGCUGCAGGAAAAGGGACCCAGCUGAGUCCUGGUUUAGUGCAACCAACUGUGGAAAGCACUGCAAGGAGUCUGAAAGCUCAGAGGGAGCAGAAAAACUCCAUGGUAUAAACAGCAUCUCUCUGAGGGCCAUGUCCCAGUACUUGGUACUCACCUGUGCUUAUAAUGUCUGAAUGUAUACUGUGAUUAUAACGUGCUCAGGAGGCAUCAUUGCUGCCCCAGUCCCAGCCAUGCACAGGGUGUGCUGGGGGAAACCCAAGGCACACACACCUCAUGCCACUGUGCACACUCAGGAGGAUUGGGAAAAUCAGGGAAUAGGCAAAAUCAAGGACUAACUCAGCUCCAAACGUCUGGGGAGAUCAGCUCUCCUUGUUAGUCCCGGAAUAAGAGCAAUGCCUAAGGGUUCUGAGAAGCAAAUUGCUGCUCUCCAGCUCCUGUCCCCACCUCUGCUACAGAAAAACUGGGGGAUCUGAGAAAAGUCCCUCUGCCUCUCCCACCCUGCCCCGACAGGGAGGUUUGUCAGUCAAUUAUUUCACCUUUGCAAACCCAUUUUCAAACCUUUUUUGAAAGCAAGUGAUAGAAGGGAAAAAUCUUGUUACUGCUCUGAAAGAGCCUUUUGUGAAGAUGCUUGUUAAUGAGCUUGCUUAAUGAGUUUUCUUAAAUCUAUAUUUAUAUCCUAUAUACAGCUGUAUAUAGAUAGACCAAUGCCUAAAAUACGUAUGGAUUGCACACACAUAUGCCUGGACUGAUUAACACACAGCUUUUUCUCUUAUUACCAUGCAAGUAUUUAUUCAUUUUCCUUGGAAAUUGAGGAGAUAAAAGAUCCAUUCUGGAAUAAAAUAAUUUUGUGCAUA
Calypte anna (Anna's hummingbird) is the source of this 1419-nucleotide long non-coding RNA. RefSeq lists it as uncharacterized. The record is from RefSeq and is a predicted model, not a curated record. The transcript has 2 exons. Lineage: Eukaryota; Metazoa; Chordata; Aves; Apodiformes; Trochilidae.